UAUACCUACGGGGCGCAGCAGUGGGGGAUAUUGCACAAUGGGGGGAACCCUGAUGCAGCGACGCCGCGUGGGUGAAGAAGCGCCUCGGCGCGUAAAGCCCUGUCAGCAGGGAAGAAAAUGACGGUACCUGAAGAAGAAGCCCCGGCUAACUACGUGCCAGCAGCCGCGGUAAUACGGAGGAUGCGAGCGUUAUCCGGAUUUAUUGGGUUUAAAGGGUGCGUAGGCGGUUUUUUAAGUUAGUGGUUAAACGUCGGGGCUUCACCUUGAUUUGCCUUUAAUACUGUAAGACUUGAGUUCAGACGAGG
RNAcentral lists this ribosomal RNA (305 nucleotides) under uncultured bacterium. Its description in RNAcentral is "bacterial SSU rRNA". It matches the Rfam family "Bacterial small subunit ribosomal RNA", at positions 334 to 657 of the family's 1533-position model. The record is from RNAcentral.